Molecule: ribosomal RNA, 1207 nt
Filed under: marine metagenome
Description: bacterial SSU rRNA
Rfam family: Bacterial small subunit ribosomal RNA
Source: RNAcentral
AGGGUUUGAUCCUGGCUCAGAGCGAACGUUAGCUGUGUGGAUUAGGCAUGCAAGUCGUGCGCGAAAGUCUUCGGACGAGUAAAGCGGCGUAAGGGUGAGUAACACGUAACCAAUCUACCCCUUAGAUCGGAAUAACCACUGGAAACGGUGGGUAAUGCCGAAUGGUCCUUCUAGGAGGCAUCUCCAUGAAGGUAAACGGUGGCCUUUGUGCCAUUGCUAAGGGAGGGGGUUGCGGCCUAUCAGCUUGUUGGUGAGGUAACGGCUCACCAAGGCUAUGACGGGUAGCGGGUCUGAGAGGAUGAUCCGUCACACUGGGACUGAGACACUGCCCAGACUCCUACGGGAGGCUGCAGUCGAGAAUCUUCCGCAAUGGGCGAAAGCCUGACGGAGCGACACAGCGUGUGGGAUGAAGGCUCUAGGGUUGUAAACCACUGUCACACUUUAGGAACCGCGUGUCAUUAAUACCGGCACGUCUGACCAAGGUGAAAGGAAGCGCCGGCUAACUCCGUGCCAGCAGCCGCGGUAAUACGGAGGGCGCAAACGUUGCUCGGAAUCACUGGGCAUAAAGGGCAUGUAGGCGGCCCGAUCAGUCAGAUGUGAAAUCCUCCGGCUCAACCGGAGAACUGCAUUUGAUACUAUCGAGCUCGAGGAUGGUUGGGGUAAGUGGAACUCCUGGUGGAGCGGUGAAAUGCGUAGAUAUCAGGAGGAACACCAGUGGCGAAAGCGACUUACUGGACCAUUUCUGACGCUGAGGUGCGAAAGCUAGGGUAGCGAACGGGAUUAGAUACCCCGGUAGUCCUAGCCGUAAACGAUGGGCACUAGGCAAUGGGUUUCCCUAUGGGACUCAUUGCCGUAGCAAAUGUGUUAAGUGCCCCGCCUGGGGAGUACGCUCGCAAGGGUAAAACUCAAAGGAAUUGACGGGGGAUCACACAAGCGGUGGAGCAUGUGGUUUAAUUCGAAGCAACGCGAAGAACCUUACCUGGCCUUGACAUGCAUGGAUUAGCUCUGUGAAAGCGGAGUGACAGCUCUUCGGAGUCGGAACAUAGACAGGUGUUGCAUGGCUGUCGUCAGCUCGUGUCGUGAGAUGUUGGGUUAAGUCCCGUAACGAGCGAAACCCUUAUCGUUAGUUGCCAGCGCGUAAUGGCGGGAACUCUAGCGAGACUGCCGGUGUUAAACCGGACGAAGGUGGGGAUGACGUCAAGUCCGC